AGGGGAUAUGGUUUAGUGGUAUAACGCUUCUUUAGCACCUGAUCAUCUGAUCAAGUACGAUUUAGAAGAGGUCCGGCGUUCGAUUCGCCGUUUCUCCA
Molecule: transfer RNA, 98 nt
Filed under: Pseudogymnoascus verrucosus
Lineage: Eukaryota; Fungi; Ascomycota; Leotiomycetes; Thelebolales; Thelebolaceae
Description: partial tRNA-Ala
Rfam family: tRNA
About the family: Transfer RNA (tRNA) molecules are approximately 80 nucleotides in length. Their secondary structure includes four short double-helical elements and three loops (D, anti-codon, and T loops).
Source: RNAcentral